This 474-nucleotide ribosomal RNA is filed under the name uncultured bacterium. RNAcentral describes it as "partial 16S ribosomal RNA". It matches the Rfam family "Bacterial small subunit ribosomal RNA", at positions 355 to 821 of the family's 1533-position model. The record is from RNAcentral.
UGGGGAACUUUGGACAAUGGGCGAAAGCCUGAUCCAGCAAUGCCGCGUGUGUGAAGAAGGCCUUCGGGUUGUAAAGCACUUUUGUCCGGAAAGAAAUCCUUGGCUCUAAUACAGUCGGGGGAUGACGGUACCGGAAGAAUAAGCACCGGCUAACUACGUGCCAGCAGCCGCGGUAAUACGUAGGGUGCAAGCGUUAAUCGGAAUUACUGGGCGUAAAGCGUGCGCAGGCGGUUUGCUAAGACCGAUGUGAAAUCCCCGGGCUCAACCUGGGAACUGCAUUGGUGACUGGCAGGCUAGAGUAUGGCAGAGGGGGGUAGAAUUCCACGUGUAGCAGUGAAAUGCGUAGAGAUGUGGAGGAAUACCGAUGGCGAAGGCAGCCCCCUGGGCCAAUACUGACGCUCAUGCACGAAAGCGUGGGGAGCAAACAGGAUUAGAUACCCUGGUAGUCCACGCCCUAAACGAUGUCAACUAGUU